This 465-nucleotide ribosomal RNA is filed under the name uncultured bacterium. Its description in RNAcentral is "bacterial SSU rRNA". It matches the Rfam family "Bacterial small subunit ribosomal RNA", at positions 338 to 795 of the family's 1533-position model. The record is from RNAcentral.
CCUACGGGGGGCAGCAGUAGGGAAUCUUCCGCAAUGGACGAAAGUCUGACGGAGCAACGCCGCGUGAGCGAAGAAGGCCUUCGGGUCGUAAAGCUCUGUUGUUAGGGAAGAACAAGUACCGGAGUAACUGCCGGUACCGUGACGGUACCUAACCAGAAAGCCACGGCUAACUACGUGCCAGCAGCCGCGGUAAUACGUAGGUGGCAAGCGUUGUCCGGAAUUAUUGGGCGUAAAGCGCGCGCAGGCGGUUCCUUAAGUCUGAUGUGAAAGCCCACGGCUCAACCGUGGAGGGUCAUUGGAAACUGGGGACUUUGAGGGCAGAAGGGGAGAGGGAAAUUCGAGGGGUAGGGGUGAAGAGCGUAGGGAUGUGGAGGAAGACCGGGGGGGAAGGCGGCUCUCUGGUGUGUAACUGACGCUGGGGCGCGAAAGCGGGGGGAGCAAACAGGAUUAAAUACCUUUGUAGUC